RNAcentral lists this ribosomal RNA (321 nucleotides) under Triticum aestivum (bread wheat). RNAcentral's name for it is "partial small subunit ribosomal RNA". The record is from RNAcentral. Lineage: Eukaryota; Viridiplantae; Streptophyta; Magnoliopsida; Poales; Poaceae.
AUGGCCAAGUCACAGGCAUUGGCAGCAACAUUGUUGCUUGUCGUGGUGGUGUCCCUUGCCGCAAUAGAGAGUGUUCAUGGCGUUUGCGGCAUGUCGAAUGACGAAUUCAAGCUUUGUCAGCCUGCGGCGGCAGUGAAUAACCCGACAAAUAGUCCAUCUGCUGAGUGUUGUGCCGCGCUAGGAAAGACAAACCUAUCGUGCAUCUGCCGCUACAAAGGCAUGGCCGGCAUAUGGCUGAAAAUGUAUCAUAUUGACGCACGUCGUGCCAUGGCACUACCAGGCAAGUGCGGACUUACCAUGCCAAGCAACUGCUCUUGAUGA